UGAUGCAGUAUCAAAAGCAAGAGCGAAUUCAGAAAUAGGCAAAGAUAAAUGAAGGCAUCCAGGGUCUAACCCGAAGGAAAAUUUGCAAAUGCUAUCGAAAGAAAAUCUUCUAAACACAUCUUGCAAAUCCAAAGCCUCUUUUUUACCAGUCAUUGAUGACAAGAGAGGUAUCAACCUACCUCGGAUCUCGCUCGUAAUGAGCUCAAAAGCAUAAGUCCUUAUGGAAACACUACCGAGCUCUAAACUCGCCAUUUUCCUUUGAAACCUCCAAGAAUCACCAUCAACAUUAAAAAUACCUCUACCCAAAAGAUCACCCAAGAGAGCAGAGAAAGGUUUCCCUUUUGGGUAGUUGUCAAAAUUGGUAUUGAGAAUAUACUUAACGUUUUCUGGGUUGGAAGUGAUGAUAUUGCGAAGAACAUGGAUGUGAAUCGUACCGGUGGGCGAUUUCCGAAGAAGAUGAGUACACCAAUCGCAAAGAUUAGCAAAAUCUUUGGUCCAACUAGCAGUGAGAUAGCUUUUGCAUACCUCACAAUUACACCAUGGCUUUAGCCUCAACAAAAACACAAGCAAAGAGAACAAAGAAAACAAUAAGGUAAAACCAAAGAAGAGCAAACAAAAAACACUGGAAAUGGACUCCA
Molecule: unclassified non-coding RNA, 638 nt
Filed under: Hevea brasiliensis (rubber tree)
Lineage: Eukaryota; Viridiplantae; Streptophyta; Magnoliopsida; Malpighiales; Euphorbiaceae
Source: RNAcentral